UUUUUCACCAUGGGCAUGUUUGUGAAUGUAAAGUCCACUGGAAUGUGGCAGCGCUUCGGCGUUCUUUGGGUCAGAGAGGGUGAAAACCCCGUUUACAUUCAUGAGCGUGUCUGUUGUGUGAGCGUGUUAAAGAGUCGGAUUGUUUGGGAAUGCAAUCCAAAACGGGUGGUAAAUUCCAUCCAAGACUAAAUAUUAGCAAGAGACCGAUAGCGAACAAGUACCGUGAGGGAAAGAUGAAAAGCACUCUGAAGAGAGAGUGAAAUAGUACGUGAAAUUGCUUNAAGGGAAAGGCUUUAAACGAUUGUGGCUUGCAUUUUUAUCACUUUCGGCUGCUCUUGAAAUUGUG
This 346-nucleotide ribosomal RNA is filed under the name Catenaria anguillulae. Its description in RNAcentral is "partial large subunit ribosomal RNA". It matches the Rfam family "Eukaryotic large subunit ribosomal RNA", at positions 158 to 476 of the family's 3401-position model. The record is from RNAcentral. Lineage: Eukaryota; Fungi; Blastocladiomycota; Blastocladiomycetes; Blastocladiales; Catenariaceae.